Manis javanica (Malayan pangolin) is the source of this 3748-nucleotide long non-coding RNA. RefSeq lists it as uncharacterized. Lineage: Eukaryota; Metazoa; Chordata; Mammalia; Pholidota; Manidae. The record is from RefSeq and is a predicted model, not a curated record.
GUCGCGGGGACCUCGAGCGUGCGUGCGAGGCCUAAAGCGCGCUAGGCUUGCUUGGCGCUGGGAGCUGGACCGAACGCGUGGGCGGGGGCAGGCAUGCCGGCAGGGCGGAGCCUUGGGCGAGGGGUGGAGCAAGGCGCUCCCAGAAACCCCGAGCGGGCGGCGGCGGGCAACUACCGCAGUUACGUGGGCUGGGGCGUCCGGGAGUGGGGCGUGGGGAGGCGCCCCCGAGAGGGUCCCUGAAUGAUGGUGGCCACCAGGACGGCCUGGCCGGGUCGCCGAGUCCCUGUCUCCCCCUUCUGUGUGCCUGCUGUCCCCCUGCUGGCCGGGACCCUGAGAAGGCUUUCCAGGAACUAAAUGAAAAACUUAAGAAGAGAAAUGGAAUUGUUUCCUUAGACAUAAAAGGAAUCCUCAAAGUGAGCUUUGAAGCCUUACACGUUGGUCCAUGUGGCUGAGGAAAAAUGCCUAUUAAAAGUGAUCCGGAGGUAUCGUCCAAGGUGCGCUGAGGAGGCAUGUUGAGGCACACCCACGUGGCCCAGUACCUGAUGGCGGGUCAGCUAGAGAUUGGAUCUUGUGUGACAGGUCCCCACCAUCUUUCUGAGAGGUAGAGGCAGAUGCUGUUUGUGACCCCAUGCCAAUCCGAGCAAAGGACUUGGAGACUUAACACCAAGGUCGUGAGAUUUAACACUAAGAAGAAAAGCUAUAAAACCACAUGUACAGAGUGCCUACUUCUCUGAAUACAGAAAAUGUGCAUAAAGGCAGGAAAGCUGAAAAACCAUCCCAGAGCAUCAAUACCGGUUAUUAAUGAGAGCAGAAUUAGGGGUGGGUUCCAUUCUCUCCUCUGCGCAGCCAGUUAGAAGUUCUACAAUCCAGUGGAAACCACGAAGCUCCUCCUUUCCAUUGAAGGUCAGUAUAAUUUCACCCAUCAGAGCAGGCGGGUGGUGCGAAUGAGGGCCCCCGGGGACAGGAGGGAGCUGCCUGUCAGGCAGUGGAAGGCGCGGUGUCCGCCCCAUCCUGCGACUGCAGCAGUUGCCCCACGACGAGCAAGUGCCUCCUCGAGCUUCCUGGCCACUAGGCUCCCUGUGGGCACCCUGGGCUGGGGCCUCCUGCCUCUGCCAUCCUGUGUUUGGCUCCUCUUGCCCUUCGCACCUGUGAGGCAGGUGUGCUGUCCAUGCUGGCGUUUUGCAUCCCUCUUGCUGUUUGGAAUUCUCUUGCCAACCCCUCAGCUGAAGCCACCUUAGGCAGAUGAGACCCAGUGCCAGGUAGGGCAAAUGGGACACGCGCAGGGCUUUGCCUGAUACCUGGCACGACCACCACCUUCUAACCCUGCUGCUCUGUGUCGCCCUGUCCCGAUGGUCACUGCACCCAGAAGCUACCAGCAGCUGCAUGCAGCGUGUCACACAUCAUUGUGCUCUCCCCUUUCAAGGCAAGGGGGUCCUACCCUCAGAGGGGUGGGGAGUGACACAUGCAGCUGCUGCGGGGCGAGAGGCAGGGUCUCAGACAGAAGCACCUGCCAUGGUCACUGCUUGUUCCACUUGCUCAGUGGCCCAUCCGGCUGGUGCGGUGCUCGUCCCACAUCCCCUGCAUGGAUGACUCACCCAGCAGACCUGGCCCAGCCCCCCAAUCCCUGCUGGCCUGGGCUAAGAGUCAGGCCCCAAGGCCAACAGGAAAGCAGUGGCAUGGUGGUAGGUGCGUGGGCCCAAGGGCAGCACGCUCCCUCCCAGGGUGCCUUACGCACACCCCCUACCUCAGGUCUCACCCCCAGUGUCCUGAGGGACACUCCAGGCUGAGAGGCACAGCAGGGACAUCUUCCCACACUGCCCUUCUGGAGGAUUCUGCCCCCAGGGGUGUAUCUGGGGGUGCGUCCAAGGGAUGGUCACAUAAGCUCAUGCCUGGAGGGUGGGCAUAGGUAUGAGAUGGCCCCCACCAGCCACAGAGAGUAGCCUACUCCGCUAUAACCCAGUGCCUCCCCAGCUUGGGAGCCUCUGGGACAUGGGGAGGUGCCGCGAGGGUUGCCUGGUUCCUGCCUCCCUGGAGACUUGAGUAUCCGCCUGUGUCUUGGUCCAGCCAGUGACUCUGGGUAAGGCAGGCACCUCUUUGACCCAGAGAAUCCUCCUUCGCAAAAUGAGGGUCCUGACCUAACCCUGCUGGCCUCAGAGGUCUGUAUGUGACCUCUGCAAAUGAGCCCAGGCUUCAAGGUGGAGCCCAUGCUGGCAAGGCCCAGGUCAAGUAUCUCAGACACACCACAAGUACAGGGCAGGUCUGCUGGGCUCCUCCAACCCCAGCUUGAUUUCCUAGGAACGUGGUAUCCAAAUACAGGGGCUGGGCACCCGAGGGGGCUCAGGUGACUUGUGGGAGAAGCAGGUGAAGUCCUGCCUGCCUGGGCAGCCUAGGCCAUUUCCCCUUACACACUUGGGCACAUCUGCCCUCCUGCCACGCUGACCUUCAUGCCUGUGUCCUAGCUGCCCCCUCCCUGGAAUACCCUUCCUGUCCUGACACCCAUCCCUGAAGGCCCCCAGUGGGGAGGCCACAUGCCCCUUCAUUAGUUAUAAGUUCUCCCCCACCCCCACUCCAUCUGACACCUUAUCAAGCCCCACAAACCUGCACAGUCCCUGGACCAGGGGCCACCCAUGAGCUCGUAGCCGGGGACUUUGUGUUGGGAGGUGGGGAGAUGCCAUCCCAGGAGGGCCAACUGCCCUCACCCACAGCCCACGACCCCCAGGUCAGCCUCUGCUGCACCAGUCUCUUUGCCACCUGCCCUCUGCUUUGCUGUCUCUCGCUGUCUCUCUGGGCUGCUGAGGAGCCCUGCAGCCUGCAUGGCCAAACUAUAAGUAUGUGAUUAUGUAUGCCAGGGUCCCUCUAGCCCUUUGUUGCUGCAGAAUCUGUUGUAGCAAACAAAAGUGCAUUGGAUUAGCCACAGUGGAUUAAAAGAUUUGCUUCUCAGAGUUUAUCUAAUAACCUAACAAUUGUGCCUACAGAGGCUUUGAACCUCCAGGACACGCUCACCAGGCCAUCUGGGAGCUCUCCUGUGAGGGCAGCAGACGGCAGGCGGGUGAUUACAGGCAGCCACUGCCCAGCCUCACACUUGGCUCUGCCCACAGCCAGGCCUGUGCUCUCAGCCCCUGCCAGACCUGUCUGGGCCAAACCUGGGGAUAGGAUCAGACCCCAGGAGAAGAAGGUGGAGGCCAGCUGAGGGGACGAGGCACGGCCAGGACUGCCUACCAGAGGGCCUGGGGUCCAAGGCCGGGUGUGGGUGGUGGGGGCCAAGGCUCGCCUGCACCCCGCUGCCUCGCCGGGCACACCCACACAGCACACACGGCAUCAAGGACACAAGCAAUGUGGAGGAUGGCCGUGGCAGGCAAGGGACAAGCCAGGCUUCACCACGCUGCGGCGCACAGCCCCACGGUGCACGUUCCUGGACACGCGUGCACUUACACACAUGCACACGCACAAGGAUGGCUCUCUUUGAUCACCAAAGGACACUCCAUUUACAAGCUCUUAAUCGCAGCUGCUUUUUCGGCGCCUGUCCUCUGAAGUCCCAAGUAAUGGGAUUUGGCACUUCUGAUCCAUCUUGGGCUGGCCGCUCCCAUUAUAGAUGGACAUUUUUCCCCUUUUUUCUGCUUCUUUUUUUUUCUCAAAUAAAAAAACCUUCUUAGGCCACAUUGACUUGACAUGGCUUGUCACCCAGCCCUGGGAGUGGUGGCCCCAAGGGCUGGGCGGCUCUUAAGCCAAGGGCCCUGACCAGGUGGAG